CAGUACUACUAGCUUAUAAAGACUGAGGUCGCUACAGUUAAAAUCUCUUGCUGAGUUAAUCCACCUUUAAACUAUUAAUGUCUAUAAACAAAUAUGUAUUUUUGUAUUUACAUGGCUCAGCAUUUCUGAGUGAACACCGCUGGUUCACUCAAUAUUUUUAAGUGUACUGUCGAUCACGUGAUAUGACGUCAUGACGUGCCAUCCUAACUGACGUUACCUGAAAAAUCUAUCCAAGAUGGCUACCCUCUCGAGCAAUGUGGUGUCUAUGCGUGGUAUCAAGCAUUAAACUUUAAGGUUGAAGUGGAAGAACUACAGAAAAGUGCAUCCUCCAAAAUCAAGUGCUUCACUGGUUGGGGGGUCAUCCCUUGUCUGGAUCAGUUAUUUUAUGCAGUCAGCAGUGAAUUCAUGGACACUGAAGACUUUGAUCGAUUUUUUGCAAAGUGAGUUGUAAU
This is a long non-coding RNA of Micropterus salmoides (largemouth bass), 452 nucleotides long. RefSeq lists it as uncharacterized. Lineage: Eukaryota; Metazoa; Chordata; Actinopteri; Centrarchiformes; Centrarchidae. The record is from RefSeq and is a predicted model, not a curated record. The transcript is spliced from 3 exons.